Molecule: long non-coding RNA, 176 nt
Organism: Ctenocephalides felis (cat flea)
Lineage: Eukaryota; Metazoa; Arthropoda; Insecta; Siphonaptera; Pulicidae
Exons: 2
Source: RefSeq, a predicted model, not a curated record
AGGAGAUGUUCCUCCUGGCUGUGCUGCCUAUGGCUUUGUAGUAGAUGGUACACGAAUAUUGGUAUUUGGUGGCAUGGUGGAGUAUGGGAAAUAUUCUAACGAACUUUAUGAAUUACAGGCUUCACGUUGGGAAUGGAGGCAUUUAGAACCUAUUACAAGGGACAGUUCAAUACUAC